RNAcentral lists this long non-coding RNA (939 nucleotides) under Marmota monax (woodchuck). Lineage: Eukaryota; Metazoa; Chordata; Mammalia; Rodentia; Sciuridae. The record is from RNAcentral.
GCUAUUUAGAAUAUAUUUUUUUGAGACCUCUGAAUCCAAAAGUAGUCUAAGAGAUAGCUCUCAGCUGUUUUUUUGAGCAUAGUUAGGGCAGGUGGCCUGCAUGGUAGGACUGACAUUGCUAUUCUGAUACAGAGGGAUUUGUUCAAGAGUUAAGCCUCCCAUUUAUCUCAUUUUCUAUUUUGAAUCCUUUUAGAAAAUGUGAUAAGUUGGGUAGCCAUUGUUUAUAACAUAUUUGAGGCUGUUUCUCUCCACUGUAACCUAAACCUCAGAUUGACUUGACUUUAACAACAGAGUAAAUGAUAAUAAUACAGUUUUUAUUUUCUUCCUGAAACAUUGAGAGUUUAUUCUACUCUAAUUGAGCACAUUAUUUUUGUGAGGUAUUAGGAACUGGUGAUCAAUAUUUUAUUGCCUAGGUUGGGGAACUUAAGUGUUUAUUAGUUUGCCUGAAUAAAUCCAAGAUAGGAUUUUGAAUUUAGGUUUCAGGUUUUAAAGAACCAAGCUAGACAGUAUUUUCAUUAGGUUAAAAAGAAUAUAUACUUAAAUAUUUAAGCAGUUUUAAAAAGAUUAUUUGAUGUUAUUCAAUUCUUGGUUUUAGUGGUUGGAUAUUGUAAUGUUUCGUAUUGUACAUCCAUUGGUUGGAUUUGGACCAUAGAUAGUAUUGAAAUUAUGGGUUUUGGAGGAAGGGAGAGGAGGAGUCUGACCUUUGCUAGUGUGCAUGUAUAUUGGGCAAGAAGAAUUAUACUUUUCCUUAAAAGACAAAGACUCCAAACUUGCCAUUAUAUUGGAUUAUUGUAACAAAUAUUUUUCUUACCUCAGUGAAGAAAAAUGUUCAUAUCCAAAUACUCAUGUUAUUUAUUAAUGUGAAGAGAUCACCAUACAAUAUUGCUGAAACAAAGCUGAAUUUUAUACUUCCUAAGCAAGGGAGAACUAUGCUUGGAG